CGAUCCGAUUAAUCAAUGUUACCAAAGAAUCUACCUAUCGUCUACCGCGGCAAUGCGUCAAAGAUCGACCAUCGUUUUUUAUUUUAUUAUCGUGUAUUAGUCGUACGCUUAACAGUGGUCUGCAGGAAAUUCAUCGUUUGCAAGCUACUCAACACCCAGUGACUGACGAUUUCACCAACAAUCGCAUUGAAGCGUUGCAGCGAUAUCUGCAACGCUCCAGAAUUUCAGUUGACGAAUUUCUUGGGAGUGCCAUCGAUCCUUACCAAUUGGAGCUGGUUACGUUGGCUGUGGCAAGUGAAACUCGGUCCAAUAUAACUGUUUCCUGUGUAAGUGACUUGUUAGAUCCAGUCCAAGGUAUUGAUCGCGCUGGUGACUUAGACCAAAAAAUCAAGUUUUUCGGAGACCUAUUGGGGCCUUGAUGGCUGACAACGAAUCGUCAGAACCCGUAGCGGGACCAUCGCGA
This is a long non-coding RNA of Microplitis demolitor, 463 nucleotides long. RefSeq lists it as uncharacterized. The transcript has 3 exons. The record is from RefSeq and is a predicted model, not a curated record. NCBI's taxonomy places the organism in Eukaryota, Metazoa, Arthropoda, Insecta, Hymenoptera, Braconidae.